Non-coding RNA from Ovis aries (sheep), 73 nucleotides. The record is from Rfam. NCBI's taxonomy places the organism in Eukaryota, Metazoa, Chordata, Mammalia, Artiodactyla, Bovidae.
UCUGUAGUAGCUUAGAUGGUAAAGAAUCUGCCUGCAAUGCAGGAGACCUGGGUUUGAUCCCUGGGCUGUGGAA